AUUGAACGCUGGCGGCAGGCCUAACACAUGCAAGUCGAACGAGUGGCGGACGGGUGAGUAAUGUCUGGGAAACUGCCUGAUGGAGGGGGAUAACUACUGGAAACGGUAGCUAAUACCGCAUACCAUCGGAUGUGCCCAGAUGGGAUUAGCUAGUGGGUGGGGUAAAGGCUCACAUAGGCGACGAUCCCUAGCUGGUCUGAGAGGAUGAGCAGCCACAGUGGAACUGAGAAACGGUCCAGACUCCUACGGGAGGCAGCAUUGGGGAAUAUUGCACAAGGGGCGCAAGCCUGAUGAAGCACUGCCGCGUGUAUGAAGAAGGCCUUCGGGUUGUAAAGUACUUUCAGCGGGGAGGCGUUACCCGCAGAAGAAGCACCGGCUAACUCCGUGCCAGCAGCCGCGGUAAUUC
This 406-nucleotide ribosomal RNA is filed under the name uncultured bacterium. Its description in RNAcentral is "partial 16S ribosomal RNA". It matches the Rfam family "Bacterial small subunit ribosomal RNA", at positions 30 to 526 of the family's 1533-position model. The record is from RNAcentral.